RNAcentral lists this ribosomal RNA (689 nucleotides) under Rhodococcus qingshengii. Its description in RNAcentral is "bacterial SSU rRNA". It matches the Rfam family "Bacterial small subunit ribosomal RNA", at positions 8 to 712 of the family's 1533-position model. The record is from RNAcentral. Lineage: Bacteria; Bacillati; Actinomycetota; Actinomycetes; Mycobacteriales; Nocardiaceae.
GGAGAGUUUGAUCCUGGCUCAGGACGAACGCUGGCGGCGUGCUUAACACAUGCAAGUCGAGCGGUAAGGCCUUUCGGGGUACACGAGCGGCGAACGGGUGAGUAACACGUGGGUGAUCUGCCCUGCACUUCGGGAUAAGCCUGGGAAACUGGGUCUAAUACCGGAUAUGACCUCCUAUCGCAUGGUGGGUGGUGGAAAGAUUUAUCGGUGCAGGAUGGGCCCGCGGCCUAUCAGCUUGUUGGUGGGGUAAUGGCCUACCAAGGCGACGACGGGUAGCCGACCUGAGAGGGUGACCGGCCACACUGGGACUGAGACACGGCCCAGACUCCUACGGGAGGCAGCAGUGGGGAAUAUUGCACAAUGGGCGAAAGCCUGAUGCAGCGACGCCGCGUGAGGGAUGACGGCCUUCGGGUUGUAAACCUCUUUCAGCAGGGACGAAGCGCAAGUGACGGUACCUGCAGAAGAAGCACCGGCUAACUACGUGCCAGCAGCCGCGGUAAUACGUAGGGUGCAAGCGUUGUCCGGAAUUACUGGGCGUAAAGAGUUCGUAGGCGGUUUGUCGCGUCGUUUGUGAAAACCAGCAGCUCAACUGCUGGCUUGCAGGCGAUACGGGCAGACUUGAGUACUGCAGGGGAGACUGGAAUUCCUGGUGUAGCGGUGAAAUGCGCAGAUAUCAGGAGGAACACCGG